RNAcentral lists this ribosomal RNA (1231 nucleotides) under groundwater metagenome. RNAcentral describes it as "bacterial SSU rRNA". It matches the Rfam family "Bacterial small subunit ribosomal RNA", at positions 8 to 1185 of the family's 1533-position model. The record is from RNAcentral.
AGAGUUUGAUUCUGGCUCAGAGUGAACGCUGGCGGCGUGGAUUAGGCAUGCAAGUCGAGCGAUACUGUAUUAUGAGUAAAGUUGACCGCAAGGAAGACUUUACAAAUGAUUCGGAAUAGCGGCAAACGGGUGAGUAACACGUGAGUAAUCUACCCUAAGGACUGGAAUAGCCCAGAGAAAUCUGGGGUAAUGACAGAUAUGACUACGACCUUGAUGAGGAUGUAGUAAAAGGCGGGGACCGUAAGGCCUGCCACCUAAGGAGGAGCUCGCGGCCUAUCAGCUUGUUGGUGAGGUAACGGCUCACCAAGGCGAAGACGGGUAGCUAGUCUGAGAGGAUGUUUAGCCACACUGGGACUGAGAUACUGCCCAGACUCCUACGGGAGGCUGCAGUCGAGAAUCUUUAGCAAUGGGGGAAACCCUGACUAUGCGACGCCGCGUGAGGGAUGAAGGUCUUCGGAUUGUAAACCUCUUUCGACCGGAAAGAACAUCUUUGGUUCUAACAGGAUCAAGGACUGACGGUACCGGGAGAAGAAGCCACGGCCAACUCCGUGCCAGCAGCCGCGGUAAUACGGAGGUGGCGAGCGUUACUCGGAUUUAUUGGGUGUAAAGGGCAGGUAGGUGGCUCAACAAGUGGGAAGUGAAAUCCUCCGGCUUAAUCGGAGAACAGCUUUCCAAACUAUUGAGCUUGAGUGUGGGAGAGGAGAAUGGAACUCCUGGUGUAAGGGUGAAAUCUGUAGAGAUCAGGAGGAACACCAUUGGCGAAGGCGAUUCUCUGGACCACAACUGACACUGAACUGCGAAAGCUAGGGGAGAGAACAGGAUUAGAUACCCUGGUAUUCCUAGCCGUAAACGAUGAGUACUGGGUGUUUCCUGUAACAGGGAGGCGCCGACGUUAACACAUUAAGUACUCCACCUGGGGACUACGGCCGCAAGGUUGAAACUCAAAGAAAUUGACGGGGGCCCGCACAAGCGGUGGAACAUGUGGUUCAAUUCGACGCUACGCGAAGAACCUCACCAGGGCUUGACAUAUAGGUAGUAGGAACCUGAAAGGGAGACGACUCGUCAAGCCGAGUGCCUAUACAGGUGUUGCAUGGCUGUCGUCAGCUCGUGCCGUGAGGUGUUGGGUUAAGUCCCGCAACGAGCGCAACCCACGUCCUUAGUUGCGACCACGUAAUGGUGAGCACUCUAAGGAGACCGCCGGUGUUAAACCGGAGGAAGGUGUGGAUGACGU